CCUACGGGGGGCAGCAGUGAGGAAUAUUGGUCAAUGGGAGAGAUCCUGAACCAGCCAAGCCGCGUGAGGGAAGACGGCCCUAUGGGUUGUAAACCUCUUUUGUCGGAGAACAAAACCCGGGACGUGUCCCGGACUGCGUGUAUCCGAAGAAAAAGCAUCGGCUAACUCCGUGCCAGCAGCCGCGGUAAUACGGAGGAUGCGAGCGUUAUCCGGAUUUAUUGGGUUGAAAGGGUGCGUAGGCGGUCCGUUAAGUCAGCGGGAAAAUUGCGGGGCUCAACCCCGUCGAGCCGUUGAAACUGGCAGACUUGAGUGGGCGAGAAGGACGCGGAAUGCGCGGUGUAGCGGUGAAAUGCAUAGAUAUCGUGCAGAACUCCGAUUGCGAAGGCAGCGUACCGGCGCCAGACUGACGCUGAGGCACGAAAGCGUGGGGAUCGAACAGGAUUAGAUACCCGUGUAGUC
RNAcentral lists this ribosomal RNA (459 nucleotides) under uncultured bacterium. RNAcentral's name for it is "partial 16S ribosomal RNA". It matches the Rfam family "Bacterial small subunit ribosomal RNA", at positions 338 to 795 of the family's 1533-position model. The record is from RNAcentral.